Molecule: transfer RNA, 67 nt
Filed under: Dorcus curvidens
Lineage: Eukaryota; Metazoa; Arthropoda; Insecta; Coleoptera; Lucanidae
Description: tRNA-Ser
Source: RNAcentral
GAAGGGGAAUAUCUGGUCUCGAGCUUCUAACUCGGAAACCUAGUGGUGUAACUCCAUUAACCCUUCA